Molecule: signal recognition particle RNA, 297 nt
Filed under: Castor canadensis (American beaver)
Lineage: Eukaryota; Metazoa; Chordata; Mammalia; Rodentia; Castoridae
Description: Metazoan signal recognition particle RNA (ENSCCNG00000025798.1)
Rfam family: Metazoan signal recognition particle RNA
About the family: The signal recognition particle (SRP) is a universally conserved ribonucleoprotein. It is involved in the co-translational targeting of proteins to membranes. The eukaryotic SRP consists of a 300-nucleotide 7S RNA and six proteins: SRPs 72, 68, 54, 19, 14, and 9.
Source: RNAcentral
GCCGGGCGCGGUGGCGCGCGCCUGUAGUCCUAGCUACUCGGGAGGCUGAGGCAGGAGGAUCGCUUGAGUCCAGGAGUUCUGGGCUGCAGUGCGCUAUGCCGAUCGGGUGUCCGCACUAAGUUCAGCAUCAAUAUGGUGACCUCCCGGGAGCGGGGGACCACCAGGUUGCCUAAGGAGGGGUGAACCGGCCCAGGUCGGCAAACUGAUAAUCAAAAUAACUGCAACUCAGAAGUGCAUUUGACAUCUGUGUGCCUUGGACACCUCUAUGCCUGAGAUUCAUAAAACUUCUUAUCUGGU